UACGGAGGGUGCGAGCGUUAAUCGGAAUCACUGGGCGUAAAGCGCGCGUAGGCGGCUAUGUAAGUCAGGCGUGAAAGCCCUCGGCUCAACCGGGGAACUGCGUUUGAAACUGCAUGGCUUGAGUUCGGGAGAGGGUAGCGGAAUUCCGGGUGUAGGAGUGAAAUCCGUAGAUAUCCGGAGGAACACCGGUGGCGAAGGCGGCUACCUGGACCGAUACUGACGCUGAGGUGCGAAAGCGUGGGGAG
Molecule: ribosomal RNA, 245 nt
Filed under: uncultured Desulfovibrio sp.
Lineage: Bacteria; Pseudomonadati; Thermodesulfobacteriota; Desulfovibrionia; Desulfovibrionales; Desulfovibrionaceae
Description: partial 16S ribosomal RNA
Rfam family: Bacterial small subunit ribosomal RNA
Source: RNAcentral